AGAGUUUGAUCAUGGCUCAGAUUGAACGCUGGCGGCAUGCCUUACACAUGCAAGUCGAACGGCAGCACGGGGGCAACCCUGGUGGCGAGUGGCGAACGGGUGAGUAACACAUCGGAACGUGUCCAGUUGUGGGGGAUAACCAGUCGAAAGACUGGCUAAUACCGCAUGAUCUGGCGACAGCAAAGCGGGGGACCGCAAGGCCUCGCGCGAUUGGAGCGGCCGAUGUCCGAUUAGCUAGUUGGUGGGGUAAAGGCUCACCAAGGCUACGAUCGGUAGCUGGUCUGAGAGGAUGAUCAGCCACACUGGGACUGAGACACGGCCCAGACUCCUACGGGAGGCAGCAGUGGGGAAUUUUGGACAAUGGGGGCAACCCUGAUCCAGCCAUGCCGCGUGAGUGAAGAAGGCCUUCGGGUUGUAAAGCUCUUUCGGUGGGAACGGAACGGUUACAGCUAAUACCUGUGACUAAUGACGGUACUCACAGAAGAAGCACCGGCUAACUACGUGCCAGCAGCCGCGGUAAUACGUAGGGUGCGAGCGUUAAUCGGAAUUACUGGGCGUAAAGCGUGCGCAGGCGGUUACUUAAGUCAGGUGUGAAAGCCCUGGGCUUAACCUAGGAAUUGCGCUUGAGACUGGGUAGCUUUGAGUGUGGCAGAGGGAGGUGGAAUUCCACGUGUAGCAGUGAAAUGCGUAGAGAUGUGGAGGAACACCGAUGGCGAAGGCAGCCUCCUGGGCCAGCACUGACGCUCAUGCACGAAAGCGUGGGGAGCAAACAGGAUUAGAUACCCUAGUAGUCC
This 794-nucleotide ribosomal RNA is filed under the name uncultured bacterium. RNAcentral's name for it is "bacterial SSU rRNA". It matches the Rfam family "Bacterial small subunit ribosomal RNA", at positions 8 to 796 of the family's 1533-position model. The record is from RNAcentral.